AUGAUCAAAAAAAUUAAAAAUUAACUAUCUUUUUACCAUACCAGUGUCAUCAAAUGAGUUUUCUGAUGUAUUAUAAUCCUUUAUUCUUUGAUUUUUGGAGUAAUUUCAUCACUAGAGUUUGGUUUUCUGGUCACAAAAGCUAUCAAGCCAUUUUCAGAAGCUGCUGAAGCUAUAGAUUUGGUGAAGACUAAGCAAAGAGAUAUAUACAUUGUAAGUGCGUGUACUAAGAAGGUUUAAAAGAAGUAAUUAACAAACUAAUUAGUAAUUUUGUUGACAUUUAUGAUAUAUUUUGCAGGGAGAUAGUGUUGAAAUUAUAAUCCUACAUGCUAAUGGUGUUCGAUGUGAAAGUGAGCAACUGCACAAAGAUUAGUUACAAAACAGAAGAUUGUCCCAGUUUGCCUGUGGUCCACAUAACCAUACAAUAAGAGGACUUGUAGCUUGCUUGAAGUAGGCUCAGUCUCCAAAGUUCAAUGCUAAUUAGAACCAGGUUGUUUGUAAUUGUCGAGUUCUUGCUAAACGAUUGAUGGAGCUAGAAUACACAUUGGCCUUCUUACAACUGAUAGAUUGGAGAACAGACUUGAA
Molecule: long non-coding RNA, 582 nt
Organism: Helianthus annuus (common sunflower)
Lineage: Eukaryota; Viridiplantae; Streptophyta; Magnoliopsida; Asterales; Asteraceae
Exons: 3
Source: RefSeq, a predicted model, not a curated record